Molecule: long non-coding RNA, 493 nt
Organism: Populus euphratica (Euphrates poplar)
Lineage: Eukaryota; Viridiplantae; Streptophyta; Magnoliopsida; Malpighiales; Salicaceae
Exons: 2
Source: RefSeq, a predicted model, not a curated record
ACCGGAUGACACGAAACAGCUGAUAUUAGUACUUUCAAACGGGGUGUUUCUAAUCGCAGGCUGCCUUUCAUGUUUGCCGCAACACAAAGAAAGAAGGAAAGGGGUGCUUUGAGGACAGAAGGCAUGCUUCGAACAUGGAUCCAUAUGUUGUGACUUCCAUGAUUGCACAAAACCACCAUCCUUCGGAAGCCAAGAGACCAUCAACCAGCCCCUCAUGAAAUAUUGUUUUUAGUAGUCUGUCCAAGGAACCGUAGAAAGAUCUCUGUCAUCAGGAUGGAUAUCCUUCAGUUUGUUUCCCUUUGUGUUUGAAGCAGCAACCGAUGUUAUUGCUUUGCUUGCUUACCUUAUGAUUCUGCAUUUUGUGUCGAAUAAUGUAAGGCUUACUUCCCGGCUAUGGGUUUAGAAGAUUUUACUUUGAUGAAAUGCAGAUCACAUCUAAAGUUGUGACAGGGCUUUAUCUUCGUCUAAAGUAAACUACAUGUUGGUUUGUAAA